This 460-nucleotide ribosomal RNA is filed under the name uncultured bacterium. RNAcentral describes it as "partial 16S ribosomal RNA". It matches the Rfam family "Bacterial small subunit ribosomal RNA", at positions 338 to 795 of the family's 1533-position model. The record is from RNAcentral.
CCUACGGUGGGCAGCAGUAGGGAAUAUUGGUCAAUGGACGCAAGUCUGAACCAGCCAUGCCGCGUGCAGGAAGACGGCUCUAUGAGUUGUAAACUGCUUUUGUACGAGGGUAAACGCAGAUACGCGUAUCUGUCUGACAGUAUCGUACGAAUAAGGAUCGGCUAACUCCGUGCCAGCAGCCGCGGUAAUACGGAGGAUUCAAGCGUUAUCCGGAUUUAUUGGGUUUAAAGGGUGCGUAGGCGGUCGGAUAAGUUAGAGGUGAAAUCCCGAGGCUCAACUUCGGAAUUGCCUCUGAUACUGUUCGGCUAGAGAGUAGUUGCGGUAGGCGGAAUGUAUGGUGUAGCGGUGAAAUGCUUAGAGAUCAUACAGAACACCGAUUGCGAAGGCAGCUUACCAAGCUACUUCUGACGUUGAGGCACGAAAGCGUGGGGAGCAAACAGGAUUAGAUACCCUAGUAGUC